UCAGAGUGAGUUACUUCCUAUU
This 22-nucleotide non-coding RNA is filed under the name Sclerotinia trifoliorum. The record is from RNAcentral. Lineage: Eukaryota; Fungi; Ascomycota; Leotiomycetes; Helotiales; Sclerotiniaceae.